CCGGCUUCGGGGGUCUUGGAUUCGGAUGCCAAAAUGGGGGACUGAUUGGCUGGAACGUGGCGGAGACGGCUGAGGUCAUUCCCCACCCUCGCGCCGCGUCUCUCGGGCCGCUGCAGUUGGCUGGGGGGCUUCUUGCGAAGCCUAUGGCUUCGAGGCCUCAAGACCCCCUAGCUGCUCUUUCUCUCCGGACCUCUUGCCCCCCCCCCCCCCGCCAACACUCCUAAAAUUCCUGAUUGGGACCGCGCUGGAAAAUCUCUUUGGGGGAAUUCCCUGAACUGGCUCAGCUGGGAAAAGGGGCUUCCUCAUGAACUGGUGCUUCAGGUUCUUAAACUCGGCUUACAGGAGCAGGUACCUAUUGUCUGCUGAAGCAGCGUCUGUCUGCCAAGAAGGUGAAUGGGAACCGGUGUGGGGCAGAGCCUACCAAGGCAGACAGACACCAGGAUACCCGUGACUCAUACAAGCCCGAAGAAAAGUCUGUCCAUCUGGUUUGCCCUCUUCUGCAGGGAGAACAAAGAUAGUGAGAUGAGAGAAGUGGAAACUUCUGGACAAGACAGUAAAAUAUUCACAACAGUCAUCUGAAGUUCUCAAAUACUAGACUAACAAGACAAAGCUGAUGAAAACUGAAAUUGCCACCUGAACUGAACUUCAGCAACUACCACCCUGAUCAGUAAAGACCCAUCAAUAGCAAGGGAAAAGAAUACAAUUUGUUGUUGAGCAUGGUGGUACAUGCUUGUAAUCCCAGCACUCAGGAAGCUGAGGCGGAAGCAGCAGUACAAACCUGAAGCCAGCCUGGGCUACACAGUGAGUUCAAGGCCAGCCUGAACUACAUAGUGAGACCUGCCUCCAAAAAUAAAUAAAUAAAUAAAUAAAAUUUAUUAAAAGCUCA
Molecule: long non-coding RNA, 886 nt
Organism: Cavia porcellus (domestic guinea pig)
Lineage: Eukaryota; Metazoa; Chordata; Mammalia; Rodentia; Caviidae
Exons: 3
Source: RefSeq, a predicted model, not a curated record